RNAcentral lists this ribosomal RNA (252 nucleotides) under uncultured Brevundimonas sp. Its description in RNAcentral is "partial 16S ribosomal RNA". It matches the Rfam family "Bacterial small subunit ribosomal RNA", at positions 525 to 776 of the family's 1533-position model. The record is from RNAcentral. Lineage: Bacteria; Pseudomonadati; Pseudomonadota; Alphaproteobacteria; Caulobacterales; Caulobacteraceae.
ACGAAGGGGGCUAGCGUUGCUCGGAUUUACUGGGCGUAAAGGGCGCGUAGGCGGACAGUUAAGUUAGGGGUGAAAUCCCGGGGCUCAACCUCGGAACUGCCUUUAAAACUGGCUGUCUUGAGUACGGGAGAGGUGUGUGGAACUCCGAGUGUAGAGGUGAAAUUCGUAGAUAUUCGGAAGAACACCAGUGGCGAAGGCGACACACUGGCCCGUUACUGACGCUGAGGCGCGAAAGCGUGGGGAGCAAACAGG